Molecule: long non-coding RNA, 4994 nt
Filed under: Homo sapiens (human)
Lineage: Eukaryota; Metazoa; Chordata; Mammalia; Primates; Hominidae
Description: HSALNT0056586
Source: RNAcentral
CUUACGGAAUGUGGAGCCCAUUUAUUUUGCAUGCACAUUUAAUGUGAAAAAUUAUUUUUAAGUUCUAAAGCAACCUCUCGGAAAUGCUAAGAACUGCAAAGCUACGCAGACCCUGAUGCAUUCCUAAAUAUAAUGAAGAAAAAACAGAAAUGCACCAAGAAUUGAAAACCCUGGUUACUCACGAUUCUUUUCACCUUUCCACCUUGACCCAGCUUUCGUUCUGUCCGAGACACCCACAGGAGAAGUUAUCUCAGCCAUCGAGAGCAGCAGCAUCAGUAACAGCACAGCCAUGCCAGACUCAGCAAUUCUGCUCUUAGAAGUUUUACCCAAGAGAAAAGGAAAACACAUGCCCACAUGAAGAGUGUUUAUAUCAGCUUUAUUCAUAAUCACCUCCACCUGGUAACAACCAAUUGUCCACCGAAUGAGUCUUGGUUCCUGUGUUUGCUCCCUGAGUGAAAAAUCAUGCUUCAAAUUGAUUCAUAGAUCUGGCAAAUACCACUGAUACUAGCAGCUGUUUGCUAAUAUUCUGAAUAGGUCAGAUCUUUGGUACAGAUGCUGCCAUCACAAUCCUAGAAGACUCACCAUUGCUUCACAGAGUGGAGGGUAAUAUGGUUUGACUGUGUCCCCACCCAAAUCUCAUCUUGAGCUCCCAUAAUCCCCAUGUGUCAUGAGAGAAACCUGGUGGGAGGUAACUGAAUCAUGGGGGCAGGUAUUUCCCAUGCUGCUGUCAUGAUCUUGAAUAAGUCUCACAAGAUCUGAUGGUUAAACAGCAGUUCCCCUGCACAUGCUCUUUCACCUGCCACCACGUGAGACAUGACUUUGUUCCUCCUUUGCCUUCCACCAUGAUUGUGAGGCCUCCCCAGCCAUGUGGAGCUCUGAGUCCAUUAAACCUCUUUUUCUUUAUAAAUUACCCAGCCUUGGGUAUUUCUUCAUAGCAAUAUGACGAUGAACUAAUAGAGAAGAAAGAAAGAAUGAUACAGGGAAAGAAGAUGGAGGUGAAGGUCAGCUCUGAUCUGGCUCACAGUUUGGGGAGUAAUUACAAAAUUUUAAUUAGGGCCUUGAGAAACAACUCAAUUGAGUUUUCUAUCACCCAAUUCCACAUGAAGGAAAGAAAGCAGCUUAAUGAUUCUAGGAGUUAAGAGGCUUUGGGGCAAAAAAGAAAAGCAUCCUCACAGAUUAUUUCUCAUUUUAAAUAGCAAGAAAAAAAAAUGUUGAUUAUGCCUAGAAGAUGAAAUAAAGGGGAGGGAGUCAGUCAAAGCGGCAUAAUAAAGAUAGACUUAUUUUCAGCACAAUGAGAUUUAAUCAGCAGUAGAGGCAAGGAAAUGUUAACGGGCAGAGAAGGUAGACCUCACAACAAGAACUCAGCCUGGGUGUGGCAGUAAGGCAGGGCAGAAAUGUUUGCCAAACAAUGUUCUUUAUUCCAAGAUACCAAGACAAUUGUUUUCUACUUCUUAUGAAACACAAUGCUUUCUCCCCAGCAUGUCUUGUUCCACAACAGUGAGUAUGAAGGAUCUGGAAGAAUGGGCCACUCAGAAGAGUUGCUGGUAAAGGAUGCAUGAGGGGAUGAAUGCUCAACAGUAUCUUCACCCUGACAUUUUUUAUCAUGUGUUCACUGGACAAGAAAGACGCCACUCUAGGAUUUAAGAUUUACUGUGUUAAAAGGAAAAAAAAGGAGAAAAAAGCAAAAAUACGAAUCUAAGAAAAAAUAUAUGGAGACGAGGACCUUCUAAGCAUGAAAACAAAGAUAGAAAUAUUAAAACGAAACACUAUGAUUUUCCAUAGGAAAAAAAAAACUGGUGAAAAGGAGUGGGGAGCAUUUCCAACCUAACAAAAUGUUAAUACUUUUUAGCAUAAAGCAAAACAAAUACAACAUAUUUCAGCAUCAAAUCACACAAAUAAAAUGACCCCAAUAGAAACCAGAAGAAUAGGUACAUAUCCAAUUUGCCAGAGUAAUACUUAAAAAGGAAAAAAAAAUCAAAUUGAAACCCAAACAAAACUUUCUUUACUAUUACUAGGAAAGCAAUAAAUUUAAACUAAAAAAUAUUUAAAAACUGAAAAUUUAUACUAUCAUGACCCUAUAAAACUGUAUCCAACUUUAUGCUAACUUAUUAAACGUUUUUAAGUGGUGACAUUGAAUUAUUUUAACUAUGAUUAUGUUGGUAAUUUCCUGAAGUACAAUAUCAAUAUGCAUCACAUUUAUACUUUACUACUCAGGAAAAAAAUGUAUACCUUGCUUACAAUAAACAUGUUCCUAUGUUCAAUUUUCCUCUAAAAAUUCCUUCCUAUGGUUUACUCAUUUUGUGGUUGCUUAAUAUGAACACAAUUCUCUUUAAAAUGUAAUCAAUCAAUUGAUAGGUAUCAUGCUUUGACUUGUGGUCACACAAAAAGUGCUAAAAUUAGUUAUUCUCUACAAAAAAUCAUAACAUUUGUAUUUUAAGUGUUAAGUGUGUGACACUGAAUGUUCAUUUGUAUUUGCAUGUAAUUUACCACAGGCAUUGUCAACAGAUUAAGAGAAUUAGUUUUGAUAAGGACUAUAUAAGGAGGACAAGGAAAGAGUAUAUAGAACCAAUAAUAUUUUCAUUGAGAUUAACCAAAUCUUUUGAUUUUUUCCCCAAUGACUUAUUAAUUCUCCGCAUGCAUUUUUUCUCUGAAAAUGUUACCAUUUAAAAGUAAUCUUUCAAUUAGAAAAAAGAAUAUAUUGAAUAGAAGUCUAUAUUCAGUAAAAUGUCUUUUCAGACAAUGGAAAACUGUACAGAUUUUCAUAAUAAAACCAGAAUAAAAUGAUCUAUAUUUUAAGAAUAAUGUAUAUGUAAUUCAUUGUUACAUUAAUUCACUAUUUUAAAAAGCAAUAAAAAGCAUUUUCACAAGGUAUUAUUAUGAAUAAAAUAAUAAAAUAAGGUACUUUGACCCGGAACCUGGCAGCCAGGCAAAGCAAAUGUUGGUGAAUUCUUUUUUUUGCCAUUACAAAUGGUGGUUACAAAUGGUGAACAAAUAUAAAUACCUGAAGUUGAAUAAAGCUGCAUUAGUAGUAAGCUUAGGAUUUUAUAAUUUUUCUUUGAAGUGAUAAAUAAUAUGUAAGUUAUGUGAUGUAUUACAGAAAAAAUAAAACAAAGCAUCAAUUUUGAUUCAAAAAUUUAUGACUAUCAUCAAGACAUCAGUUCCUUUUAUAAAUUCUAAUUCUUACCUCAUAAAACAAUAUAUCUAUUACUCUGGCCAAUUAUCUUUCACUUAAACGAAGUGCCUGGUUAGAAGGAAAGAGGAAAGUUGGUAAUUUUGACUUAAAUUGAUAAAUGUAAUAUAUACUUCCCAUUUACUGAGAGGCAUUGCCAUCAAUAUAUGGAGACUACAGUAACACUGAUUGUAAAUAUCCAAAUGUGUUUUAAAUUUACCAUGUAACAUGUGGCCCAAUUUACAAAAUCUAUUACCUAUCUAACACACUUUCUCCAAACCGGAAGAAAAGCUUUUCAUAAGUUGAAUAUAUUUUAAGUAGUAUUCUGAUGUGAGUACAUAAUAAUUUUAUACCAGUAAAGCAAGUGCUUAUACAAAGAAAAUAGCCACAGUGAGGAAUAAACCAGAUGCCUUUCUAUUAAAAUUUAAUGAUCCUUGUCAAGAGUAUUUAUAGAUCUGAGAGAGAAAUCAGAAUAUAGCAUCAGAUAAAGCACUUAAAAUUAUGCCAAUUUUUCUGACCCACCCAGAAAAUUAAAAUUUAGCCUUUUAUAACCCUAAUGGGAACAAUCCGUUAAUACCAAAUAUACAACAAUAUAAUAGCAAUUUCACCUGCUUUGAUUUCCCUAGCAUGUUUAAGCAGUAUUUUUUUCUUUUUUCCUUUUUUUCUUUUUUGAGACGGAGUCUCGCUCUGUCGCCCAGGCUGGAGUGCAGUGGCGCGAUCUCAGCUCACUGCAAGCUGCACCUCCCUGGUUCACGCCAUUCUCCUGCCUCAACCUCCCGAGUAGCUGGGACUACAGACGCCCACCACCACGCCCGGCUAAUUUUUUUGUAUUUUUAGUAGAGACGGGGUUUCACCUUGUCAGCCAGAAGUAGUAUUUUUAUUAAAAAAAAUUAAUUGCACAUCUGCUUGGCUUAGCUAUAUUAAAAUCAAUAAGGAAUUAAUAAAAUUUUAGUUUAUCAGAGAUACAAAGCAUUGUAAGAAAUUACUUCACUGAAAUUAAAAUAUUAAAAAGAAUUUUAGUCUGACUACAACUUUCAUCAAGCUAAGUUGUAACCAAAAGUCUGUCUUAUUGGCAAUUAUCGAAUCAUAAUUUGGUGGACUCAUAGGGUCACAUUCUUUGACACUCUAAGAGAAGAAGGGGUCUAUUUCUGCCCUGUUGCAUCUGGGCUUGCCUGUGGUGCUUUAACCACCACAGUGGGACAGAAAUGACAAGUUGUGAAAUCUGGGACUACUCCUGAGGUGAAUGGGGGUUCCCAUCUUGGCCUUUUGCAUCUUGAGCUACCACAUAAAAUGACUGACAACUCUGCUGAGGGAUUACAAGAAGUGGCCCUGAAAAUACAGGAAGAAGGAGAGGGGCACAGCUGAGCACACCCUUCUAGAGGUCUCCCCUAAGGCAUCAAGCAUGAGAGUGAAGCUGUCUGGAUUGUCAUCCAUACAUUAUUGUAUCAGCCAAGUUGCCAACUGAAUACCAUCCUGACUCUAAUUGGUACCACAUGGACUAGAAGAAUCACCCAGGCAUGUCCUGCUUGAAUUCCUCACUCACAAAGUAUGACACAUAAUGAAAUGUUUGUUGCUUUCAGUCCCUAAGUUUUAGAGCAGUUUAUUACACAGCAAUAAGUAACCAGAAAACAGAGGAUCUUAGAACUAAGAUGCCAUGCAACAACAGCAAGCAUAUUCUAAUACUGGCACUUCUCUAUCAUUUUGACAUAAUGUUUGAAAAUGGCAUAAUGUUUGAAAUGGCAAAAUAGGAAAUGUUUCCAGAGGCAUAAAAAUUCUCCUAAGAUUUGUCAAAAAAAGGUUGUGUAAAGAAUUUUUCCUAAAAAAC